This 400-nucleotide ribosomal RNA is filed under the name Candidatus Bathyarchaeota archaeon. RNAcentral describes it as "bacterial SSU rRNA". It matches the Rfam family "Archaeal small subunit ribosomal RNA", at positions 279 to 681 of the family's 1478-position model. Lineage: Archaea; Thermoproteati; Candidatus Bathyarchaeota. The record is from RNAcentral.
AGAGCGGGAGCCCGGAGAUGGGCACUGAGACAAGGGCCCAGGCCCUACGGGGCGCAGCAGUCGCGAAAACUCCGCAAUGCGCGAAAGCGUGACGGGGCUACCCCGAGUGCCGUCCGCUGAGGAUGGCUUUUCCCCGGUGUAAUGAGCCGGGGGAAUAAGGAGAGGGCAAGUCUGGUGUCAGCCGCCGCGGUAAUACCAGCUCUCCGAGUGGUGAGGACAAUUAUUGGGCUUAAAGCGUUCGUAGCCGGCUUAACAAGUCUUCCGUUAAAUCCAACGAUCUAAUCGUUGGUCUGCGGGAGAUACUGUUGGGCUAGGAGGCGGGAGAAGCCGACGGUAUUCUCGGGGUAGGGGUGAAAUCCUGUAAUCCCGGGAGGACCACCAGUGGCGAAGGCGGUCGGCU